AUAAUGAUACUUCCGUCCAGUCACAGGCUCAAGCAAUGAGAACGGCUCUGGGAGAACCUCAGAGGGAUGAGAUUUCCAUGA
This 81-nucleotide non-coding RNA is filed under the name uncultured Ruminococcus sp. Its description in RNAcentral is "pemK RNA". It matches the Rfam family "pemK RNA". Lineage: Bacteria; Bacillati; Bacillota; Clostridia; Eubacteriales; Oscillospiraceae. The record is from RNAcentral.